Molecule: long non-coding RNA, 334 nt
Organism: Centropristis striata (black sea bass)
Lineage: Eukaryota; Metazoa; Chordata; Actinopteri; Perciformes; Serranidae
Exons: 3
Source: RefSeq, a predicted model, not a curated record
UGCUGCUCUGCUCACUGACCAUGUUAGAUGGUGCAAGAUUCAAGCUUCUCAGUACACAACCACAAAUCACUCUUUGAGGCUAUAUACUUUGUCACCAGAAUCAUGGAUUCUCCUCCUGAGGUGUUGACUCUGUAGAAAAACUCCCAUGAACAAUUCAUCUGAGAAGUUCCCUAAAGGCCACCAUGCAUUCUACUAACUUGGAAAGGGAGGGAUAUAUGCAUGUAUUUAUAAACACUCUCUUUCUCUUUUUUUCUGAACUGUGAACUUUGAUUAUAUUUAUUGUAAAACUGUGUAUUUACCUUUGUGAAAACUUUCAAUAAAGUAUUUUUUUCAA